This 478-nucleotide ribosomal RNA is filed under the name uncultured bacterium. Its description in RNAcentral is "bacterial SSU rRNA". It matches the Rfam family "Bacterial small subunit ribosomal RNA", at positions 335 to 798 of the family's 1533-position model. The record is from RNAcentral.
ACUCCUACGGGAGGCAGCAGUGGGGAAUAUUGCACAAUGGUAGGGCAACCUGAUGCAGCCAUGCCGCGUGAUGUAGCAAGAAGGGCCUUCGGGUUGAUAAAGCACUUUCAGUAGGGAGGAAGGUAGUGUAGUUAACACCUGCAUUAUUUGACGUUACCUACAGAAGAAGCACCGGCUAACUCCGUGCCAGCAGCCGCGGUAAUACGGAGGGUGCGAGCGUUAAUCGGAAUUACUGGGCGUAAAGCGCAUGCAGGCGGCCUGUUAAGUCAGAUGUGAAAGCCCGGGGCUUAACCUCGGAAUUGCAUUUGAAACUGGCAGGCUAGAGUCUUGUAGAGGGGGGUAGAAUUUCAGGUGUAGCGGUGAAAUGCGUAGAGAUCUGAAGGAAUACCAGUGGCGAAGGCGGCCCCCCUGGACAAAGACUGACGCUCAGAUGCGAAAGCGUGGGGAGCAAACAGGAUUAGAUACCCUGGUAGGAUAG